Pan troglodytes (chimpanzee) is the source of this 2727-nucleotide long non-coding RNA. RefSeq lists it as uncharacterized. Lineage: Eukaryota; Metazoa; Chordata; Mammalia; Primates; Hominidae. The transcript is spliced from 4 exons. The record is from RefSeq and is a predicted model, not a curated record.
GAAGCCUUCAGUCUCUAUGCACGCAGCAUGCCUUCCCAGCCUCCUGUGGUUGUAGAGUGUAUAGAAGGCAGUUGGAUCACUAUGGACAGCGGGUAAGAGCUGAGGAAGCAGUCUCCGCCAGGUGGUAACAUGGAGGACCCUGAAGGUGAUGCCACUCCUGUGAUGAGUUUUCGGUAAAGAGAGGCAUGCUUCCUCGGCAGGACUCUCAGAUAACCACAGAUAUAAGCAACAUCGGAACAUAAAGUCAAGGGCAAUUAAAUCAAGCAUAUUCCUCAGUAUCAUGGAGAGACUGGAGGUUAGAGACUCCAAAACCAUCCCUGGCUUAAUGACUUUGGGAUCCCUGGGCCCCUCCAUGCAGCAGAACAGCAAUUAACCAAGGUGGGUGACUUUCUUUCUGCUUGUGUUGACAAUUGGAAACAGAAGCAGCUUUUGGGUCUGGGGUAGGAACCAGAACUGAGUUAAUACUUUAGUUUGCCCUGAGAAUAAAAAAAGAAUGAUAGGGCUGAAUGGGGGCUCCCCACUGCCUCUGACUUCCUCAGAUCUUAGGCUGUGUUCCUCUGCCAUGGCUCCUUUAUUCCCGGGCCUCCUUCCAAGUUGUUACUUGUCAUCUGUCACCUGAGUCACCCUGGAGCCUCACAGCUGAUCUUCUGUCUUUUCUUCCUUUGUCACCCAUCCUUUACAUCAGCCAUGGGAAGCUCUCUCUCAGGCACCAGGUAAUCACGAUUCCAACACACAUCCUAUUGCCAGUGGGUUCAACCCGAAAGUCUUUAGUCUGAUGUUCAGUCUCAUCCUUCACUCUUUGUCUUCUGCUCUCUGCUUCCCUACAUCUGCUGGAGCUGACACUGUGCCAAAUCCUGUCCAGGACCUGCUUAUUUCCAUCACUGUCUUUGUUGGGUGUCUCUGCUUGGGACACCUUCCUGUUUCAUCUCCAUCCAAGCUUUGAGAGACUUUGCAGUAUAUUCAUUAAGUGUGUGUAGCGCUGGAAUCAGACUCUUUGAGUUCAUAUUCUGCCUCUGUCACUUACAUGAAAUAAAAUAUAUAAGCUCUUGGCUCAGACCCUGACAUAAAAUAAGUGUUCAAUAACAUAUGCUUGACAGUAUUAUUUCUCCCGCACAUCACUUCUGUUGAAUCCCAGUGUUCACUUCUCUCAGGAAGUCUUUCCUGCGUAACAUUAACCUGGGCCUCCCUGACCCUGCUCACUCACAGGCAAUAAAACCUCCCUUGGAAGCUCGAAUCAGGGCAGGGGUCCUUUCAGCAUGUCUGACCCCAUGGGUGGGUCUGGAAUGACUAGCACUUUCUGAUUCUCUUUGGUCCGGUACAUAUUGAUGAGCCUCCAUUGAACUGCUCUGAAUCAAAGCUUUCUCUUAACAUCAGUCAUGGACCACCCAUCCACCCACCAUCCAUCCAUCCACUCAAUCAUUCAGCGAUAUUUUGAACACUUAUUAUGUGCCAGGAACUGUGCUAUGUGUUGGGUAUACAACGGAGGAAAAGGCAGACUCUGCCCCACCUUCAUGAAGUCAUUGGGCAGUAGGGAGAAAGAUACUCAGAUAGGCAAAUAUGACACAGAGGGGCCAGUGUUCUGAUGAGGGAAGCACAAGGUGCUGAGACAACCUGAAAACCCUAAGGAGAAGCUCUGCAACUGCCUUAGAAGAUCCCUGGAAGCGAUCCAAAGGAAGCAAGUUUAAGCUGAGACCCAAAGAAUAAGAAAGAUGUUAGCCAAGUGGAAGAGAAUUGCUGGUGAAGAGUGUUUUAGUUGAGGAAACUGUGUGUGAAAAGACACAGAGGUGAGAGAGGGAAUGGCAUAGUGGAAAGUUGGGUGGGGUGGUGUGUGUGCCCAUGCACCAUGCAAGUUGUAUGCAUGGGUGCCUGUUGGAGGUGAAGGUGAGACGAGGCGGGAGGGGCAGGCAGGGGCCAGGAUAUGCAGGGACUUACAAACCAUGUGAAAGAGUUUUGACUUGCACAUCACAGCCAUGGAAUAAAUGAGAAAGUGAGUGGGAGUUUCAGUGGGGGAAUGGCAUGAUUAGAUUUAUAAUUUAGAAAAAUCACACUGGCUGCAGUGUGGAGAAUGGAGGGAGGUUGGUUUGUGAGACUCCAUGACAAAGUCGGCUUCAGUUCUUUCCCCAGGCAACCGGGAUCCUGCUUGAGCUUGAGCUCCAGCUGAGGCCCUACUGCCUUGCGUGGUUCUUGCUAGGUCCCCUCCUGAGGGUUGGAUCUGUCUCUAAUUCUCAGCUGUUGACUCAGGUCCUGCUCACAGUGGACAAGUGACCUCCAACCAGGAUCCUGUCACUCCAGGACCCUGAUGGAUACAGAUGGCAAUAGAAAGCCUCUCUGAGGAAGUGACAUUUAAGCUAGACUUUCGGGAUGAGCGGGAGCCAGCCAUGUGAAGAACGGGGGAGGAGAGACACUCCAGGCAGGAGGAAGUCGCGUGUGAAAACUCCAAGGUGGAAAGAGCUCACUGUUGUGUUCAAGGAACAGAGAGAAGGGCAGUGUGUCUAGAGUGCAGCGCUCAGGAGAGACAGCACGAGAUGAGAUUUUCUGAAUUUCAUCCCGAUCACACAGCACACAGCAGAGGAAGUGGUUGGCCUGCUCUCCGGGUCACCUCUCUCCUCAUGCUGGCCCUUACGAAAGAUAAAAAUACCGAUAACUAAUGCUUAUUGAACACUUACUAUGUUUCAGGUAUUGUUUUAAAUAAAUUUAUAUUAAAUAAAUAGUAAUUGUUCUAACUGC